This 459-nucleotide ribosomal RNA is filed under the name uncultured bacterium. Its description in RNAcentral is "partial 16S ribosomal RNA". It matches the Rfam family "Bacterial small subunit ribosomal RNA", at positions 338 to 795 of the family's 1533-position model. The record is from RNAcentral.
CCUACGGGCGGCAGCAGUGAGGAAUAUUGGUCAAUGGCCGGAAGGCUGAACCAGCCAAGCCGCGUGAGGGAGGAAGGCGCAGAGCGUCGCAGACCUCUUUUGCCGGGGGACAAAAGGCCGGACUCGUCCGGUCCUGAGGGUACCCGGAGAAAAAGCAUCGGCUAACUCCGUGCCAGCAGCCGCGGUAAUACGGAGGAUGCGAGCGUUAUCCGGAUUUAUUGGGUUUAAAGGGUGCGCAGGCGGGCCGUUAAGCCGGCGGUAAAAUCGCGGGGCUCACCCCUGCCGAGCCGUCGGAACUGGGGGUCUUGAGUGUGGCGGAGGCAUGCGGAAUGCGCGGUGUAGCGGUGAAAUGCAUAGAUAGCGCGCAGAACCCCGAUUGCGAAGGCAGCGUGCCGGGCCGCCACUGACGCUGAGGCACGAAAGCGCGGGGAUCGAACAGGAUUAGAUACCCUAGUAGUC